Molecule: non-coding RNA, 361 nt
Organism: Arachis ipaensis
Lineage: Eukaryota; Viridiplantae; Streptophyta; Magnoliopsida; Fabales; Fabaceae
Source: RefSeq, a predicted model, not a curated record
CGUUUCACACUCAAUCCCAUGCCUUUGUUGCCAUUGUUCUACUCGUCGCCCCCGCCGGCAGAAGCAGCAAGUCCCGGGGCUGAUCGUCAUUGUCGUCUUCUUACUUAGACUUUUGCCAUCAGCUUCCUCUUCGCCAUCAGCUUCCUUCGCACAACCAGAAGCUGGUCUCCAAUUUGGUGGCAGAAGCUCCAAACAGAUUGAAGAUCCCUCACGUCCAUUGCUGCAAGCCUGCAACACAGGCAAGCAGCUUUGAAUAGAGUGAAAGGCUCACUUGACUGCUCUCAAUUAAAGAUUAACUGGUAUUUAGAUCCGUCGUGAUUUCACCAUUCAAUGUAUUUUAAUGAAUUAAUAACAAAAUAUU